RNAcentral lists this transfer RNA (64 nucleotides) under Jacobiasca formosana. RNAcentral's name for it is "tRNA-Tyr". Lineage: Eukaryota; Metazoa; Arthropoda; Insecta; Hemiptera; Cicadellidae. The record is from RNAcentral.
AUUAAAGUGUCUGAUAAAAGUAGUAAACUGUAAAUUUAYUUAUGAACUAAAUGUUCCUUUAAUA